RNAcentral lists this ribosomal RNA (36 nucleotides) under Aspergillus flavus. RNAcentral's name for it is "partial 28S ribosomal RNA". Lineage: Eukaryota; Fungi; Ascomycota; Eurotiomycetes; Eurotiales; Aspergillaceae. The record is from RNAcentral. RNAcentral also lists the same sequence under 18 other names.
UGACCUCGGAUCAGGUAGGGAUACCCGCUGAACUUA